Molecule: transfer RNA, 71 nt
Filed under: Lacrimispora saccharolytica
Lineage: Bacteria; Bacillati; Bacillota; Clostridia; Lachnospirales; Lachnospiraceae
Also listed under: 2 other names
Rfam family: tRNA
About the family: Transfer RNA (tRNA) molecules are approximately 80 nucleotides in length. Their secondary structure includes four short double-helical elements and three loops (D, anti-codon, and T loops).
Source: RNAcentral
GGGAUAUAGCUCAGCUGGGAGAGCGCUUGAAUGGCAUUCAAGAGGCCGUGGGUUCGAGUCCCAUUAUCUCC